GAUGAACGCUGGCGGCGUGCCUAAUACAUGCAAGUCGAGCGAACGGACGAGAAGCUUGCUUCUCUGAUGUUAGCGGCGGACGGGUGAGUAACACGUGGAUAACCUACCUAUAAGACUGGGAUAACUUCGGGAAACCGGAGCUAAUACCGGAUAAUAUUUUGAACCGCAUGGUUCAAAAGUGAAAGACGGUCUUGCUGUCACUUAUUGAUGGAUCCGCGCUGCAUUAGCUAGUUGGUAAGGUAACGGCUUACCAAGGCAACGAUGCAUAGCCGACCUGAGAGGGUGAUCGGCCACACUGGAACUGAGACACGGUCCAGACUCCUACGGGAGGCAGCAGUAGGGAAUCUUCCGCAAUGGGCGAAAGCCUGACGGAGCAACGCCGCGUGAGUGAUGAAGGUCUUCGGAUCGUAAAACUCUGUUAUUAGGGAAGAACAUAUAUGUAAGUAACUGUGCACAUCUUGACGGUACCUAAUCAGAAAGCCACGGCUAACUACGUGCCAGCAGCCGCGGUAAUACGUAGGUGGCAAGCGUUAUCCGGAAUUAUUGGGCGUAAAGCGCGCGUAGGCGGUUUUUUAAGUCUGAUGUGAAAGCCCACGGCUCAACCGUGGAGGGUCAUUGGAAACUGGAAAACUUGAGUGCAGAAGAGGAAAGUGGAAUUCCAUGUGUAGCGGUGAAAUGCGCAGAGAUAUGGAGGAACACCAGUGGCGAAGGCGACUUUCUGGUCUGUAACUGACGCUGAUGUGCGAAAGCGUGGGGAUCAAACAGGAUUAGAUACCCUGGUAGUCCACGCCGUAAACGAUGAGUGCUAAGUGUUAGGGGGUUUCCGCCCCUUAGUGCUGCAGCUAACGCAUUAAGCACUCCGCCUGGGGAGUACGACCGCAAGGUUGAAACUCAAGGGAAUUGACGGGGACCCGCACAAGCGGUGGAGCAUGUGGUUUAAUUCGAAGCAACGCGAAGAACCUUACCAAAUCUUGACAUCCUUUGACAACUCUAGAGAUAGAGCUUUCCCCUUCGGGGGACAAAGUGACAGGUGGUGCAUGGUUGUCGUCAGCUCGUGUCGUGAGAUGUUGGGUUAAGUCCCGCAACGAGCGCAACCCUUAAGCUUAGUUGCCAUCAUUAAGUUGGGCACUCUAAGUUGACUGCCGGUGACAAACCGGAGGAAGGUGGGGAUGACGUCAAAUCAUCAUGCCCCUUAUGAUUUGGGCUACACACGUGCUACAAUGGACAAUACAAAGGGCAGCGAAACCGCGAGGUCAAGCAAAUCCCAUAAAGUUGUUCUCAGUUCGGAUUGUAGUCUGCAACUCGACUACAUGAAGCUGGAAUCGCUAGUAAUCGUAGAUCAGCAUGCUACGGUGAAUACGUUCCCGGGUCU
Molecule: ribosomal RNA, 1372 nt
Filed under: uncultured bacterium
Lineage: Bacteria
Description: bacterial SSU rRNA
Rfam family: Bacterial small subunit ribosomal RNA
Source: RNAcentral